GUGUCAGCAGCCGCGGUAAGACGUAGGAUGCAAGCGUUGUCCGGAAUUAUUGGGCGUAAAGAGUUCGUAGGCGGUUGUCUAAGUCUGGUGUUAAAUACUGGAGCUCAACUUCAGAAUGGCAUCGGAAACUGGACGGCUAGAGUGUAGUAGAGGUCACGGGAAUUCCUGGUGUAGCGGUGAAAUGCGUAGAUAUCAGGAGGAACACCGGUGGCGAAAGCGCGUGACUGGGCUACAACUGACGCUGAGGAACGAAAGCCAGGGGAGCAAAAGGGAUUAGAUACCCCAGUAGUCC
Molecule: ribosomal RNA, 292 nt
Filed under: uncultured bacterium
Lineage: Bacteria
Description: partial 16S ribosomal RNA
Rfam family: Bacterial small subunit ribosomal RNA
Source: RNAcentral